AGCAGUCGCCACGGUAAUACGAAGGGUGCAAGCGUUAAUCGGAAUUACUGGGCGUAAAGCGCGCGUAGGUGGUUUGGUAAGAUGGAUGUGAAAUCCCCGGGCUCAACCUGGGAACUGCAUCCAUAACUGCCUGACUAGAGUACGGUAGAGGGUGGUGGAAUUUCCUGUGUAGCGGUGAAAUGCGUAGAUAUAGGAAGGAACACCAGUGGCGAAGGCGACCACCUGGACUGAUACUGACACUGAGGUGCGAAAGCGUGGGGAGCAAACAGGAUUAGAUACCCGUGUAGUCCCUGUCUCUUAUAC
This 303-nucleotide ribosomal RNA is filed under the name uncultured bacterium. Its description in RNAcentral is "partial 16S ribosomal RNA". It matches the Rfam family "Bacterial small subunit ribosomal RNA", at positions 507 to 807 of the family's 1533-position model. The record is from RNAcentral.